RNAcentral lists this transfer RNA (63 nucleotides) under Sinosolenaia oleivora. RNAcentral describes it as "tRNA-Asp". The record is from RNAcentral. Lineage: Eukaryota; Metazoa; Mollusca; Bivalvia; Unionida; Unionidae.
AAAAGAAUACCACUUAGGUAAUACAAGCUUGACAAGCUUAAGUUAUAUUUUAACUAAUUCUUU